This 578-nucleotide ribosomal RNA is filed under the name Campylobacter jejuni. Its description in RNAcentral is "bacterial SSU rRNA". It matches the Rfam family "Bacterial small subunit ribosomal RNA", at positions 955 to 1533 of the family's 1533-position model. Lineage: Bacteria; Pseudomonadati; Campylobacterota; Epsilonproteobacteria; Campylobacterales; Campylobacteraceae. The record is from RNAcentral.
AGAUACGCGAAGAACCUUACCUGGGCUUGAUAUCCUAAGAACCUUAUAGAGAUAUGAGGGUGCUAGCUUGCUAGAACUUAGAGACAGGUGCUGCACGGCUGUCGUCAGCUCGUGUCGUGAGAUGUUGGGUUAAGUCCCGCAACGAGCGCAACCCACGUAUUUAGUUGCUAACGGUUCGGCCGAGCACUCUAAAUAGACUGCCUUCGUAAGGAGGAGGAAGGUGUGGACGACGUCAAGUCAUCAUGGCCCUUAUGCCCAGGGCGACACACGUGCUACAAUGGCAUAUACAAUGAGACGCAAUACCGCGAGGUGGAGCAAAUCUAUAAAAUAUGUCCCAGUUCGGAUUGUUCUCUGCAACUCGAGAGCAUGAAGCCGGAAUCGCUAGUAAUCGUAGAUCAGCCAUGCUACGGUGAAUACGUUCCCGGGUCUUGUACUCACCGCCCGUCACACCAUGGGAGUUGAUUUCACUCGAAGCCGGAAUACUAAACUAGUUACCGUCCACAGUGGAAUCAGCGACUGGGGUGAAGUCGUAACAAGGUAACCGUAGGAGAACCUGCGGUUGGAUCACCUCCUUUCUA